This 475-nucleotide long non-coding RNA is filed under the name Setaria viridis. RNAcentral's name for it is "long non-coding RNA (SVIR_LNC001124)". Lineage: Eukaryota; Viridiplantae; Streptophyta; Magnoliopsida; Poales; Poaceae. The record is from RNAcentral.
GGAGUAUAUAUUAAGAUGAUCGACCAUUGGUCAAUUGAUGCUCCUAACCUGUGUAAUUGACUUUUACAUGACUGCCUCUCUUAUGCUGGCUUCUACAUACAACACUUUCUCUAUCUGUCAGCUAUAUAUAUUUUUUAUAAUAAUGAAAGUAAAACUCUCAAACUUCAAAGUAUCCUUUUGUUUCUAAUAUUUGUCCAAUCCGCAUACUAGAUAGUUUAAUGCUAACCUCCGUUUUAGAAUACUUGGCAAUUUUGACCAAAUAUGGUUACCAAGGCAAUUCAACUUUUCAAGAAUGAAAUGACUAAAAUGCCCUUACAAACCUAUCUUUAAGUGUUUCUAGAACAUCCUAUAAUAUUUGUAUGAGGGCAAAAUGAGAAAGUGUUUCUUGGAAAACGUGAAGUGCCAAAUAUUUUAAAACAAAUAAAGUGGUCAAAAGUGACAAGUAUUUGGAAAUGGAGGUUGCUACUAGAGUAAU